Molecule: ribosomal RNA, 253 nt
Filed under: uncultured bacterium
Lineage: Bacteria
Description: partial 16S ribosomal RNA
Rfam family: Bacterial small subunit ribosomal RNA
Source: RNAcentral
UACGGAGGAUCCAAGCGUUAUCCGGAUUCAUUGGGUUUAAAGGGUGCGUAGGCGGAACGAUAAGUCAGUGGUGAAAUCCUGUAGCUUAACUACAGAACUGCCAUUGAUACUGUCGAUCUUGAGUAUAUUUGAUGUGGGCGGAAUGUGUCAUGUAGCGGUGAAAUGCUUAGAUAUGACACAGAACACCGAUUGCGAAGGCAGCUCACAAAACUAUAACUGACGCUGAGGCACGAAAGCGUGGGGAUCAAACAGG